This is a long non-coding RNA of Humulus lupulus (European hop), 3782 nucleotides long. RefSeq lists it as uncharacterized. The record is from RefSeq and is a predicted model, not a curated record. The transcript has 2 exons. NCBI's taxonomy places the organism in Eukaryota, Viridiplantae, Streptophyta, Magnoliopsida, Rosales, Cannabaceae.
UCAAUUGUCUUCUUCCUGAUCAUUGAAAACUGACCAUGGCCACCUCAACUGAUCCCAAGACCAUUGAUGACAAUUCUGCUAUCUCUGAAAUUUCCAAAAUCUCCUCUGAACCUAUUUCCCAUCAAUAUGAACAACCUAAUCUUCAAAUCACCAUUCAUAAAUUGAACGGUCAAAACUUCCUCCAAUGGUCCUGAUCUGUGACCUUGUAUCUCACUGGUCGUGGUCAUUUGGGCUAUCUCACAUGUGAUGUGUUUGCACUAGCCUCCACUGAUCCCUCCACCAAAUGGACCUCCGAAAAUUCCCUGAUCAUCUUCUGGCUUGUCAACUUUGUAGAAGUUGACAUAGGCCGAACCUAUCUGUUUCUCUCUACUGCGAAAGAAGUGUGGGAUUCUGUCAAAGAAACUUUUUCUGACCUUGAAAAUUCGGCUCAAGUUUUUGAACUCAAGACCAAACUUCAGGACCAAAAACAACAGGCUCUUUCUGUAACUCAAUAUUAUAGUAUUUUGUAUAAUCUUUGGCAAGAAAUUGACCUGUUUUAUGUUCCAAAGUGGAAGUGUUCUGAUGAUGCAUCUUCCUACAAGAAAAUGCUUGAUCGAGAGAGACUAUUUGAUUUUUUGCAUGGCUUGAACCGGGACCUAGAUGAAGUUCGUGGUUGUCUCCUUGGAAAGUCUCCUCUUCCCUCGGUUCGUGAAGCCUUUGCUGAGGUCCGUCGUGAGGAAAGCCGCAAAACGGUAAUGAUGGGACCCCUUCAAACCAUUGAAACAAAUCAUUCCGCCCUUGCUGCCCAGCGACCCAAUCUCAAUACUGAUUUACGUGGGCCACAACGUGACCAUCCCUGGUGUGAUCAUUGCAGUAAGAUAGGCCAUACAAAGGCUACUUGCUGCAAAAUCUAUGGUAAACUUGCGGAUUGGAAGCCCGAAACAGAAAUAAUGUUGUUGGAAACAAUUCUGAUGGGCGCGCUCUUACUGCUGCACAAGCCUCGUCAUUUCCUUUCACACCUGACCAGAUUGCUCAACUCCAUCAGCUCCUUAACACUGCUUCCGCAUCUGAUCUAAAGGCUUCCUCUGCCCCAGGAAAUGUCCUCGGGGAAGACGAUUGGGAGUGCGUGGGAAUGUAGGGGUUGUAUUACUUUGAAGUUGAUCUGCCACUUGCUCAAAUUAAUGAAAGUUUGCAUUUUGGUUGUACUGUUUCUAGUGAUUUUGAUAUUAUGAGAUGGCAUUAUCGUCUAGGACAUCUUAGUUUUCCCUAUCUAAAACAUUUGUUUCCAAGUAUGUUUCGAAAUAAAAAUUUCAGCAUGUUUAAAUGUGAAGUAUGUCAAUUUGCAAAGCAUACUCGUAUUGUGUUUCGCUUUCGCCCUUAUAAAGCAUCUCAACCAUUUACUCUUAUUCAUAGUGACAUGUGGGGGCCAUCCCGUGUUACCAAUCUUUCAAAUACUUGUUGGUUCAUCUCUUUCAUAGAUGAUCAUACACGCUUAACUUGAGUAUUUCUUUUAAAAGAAAAAUUUGAUGUUGAUGCCAUUUUUAAAAAAUUUCACUCCAUGAUUAAAAACCAAUUUCAAGCUAAUCUUCAAGUCUUUCACACAGAUAAUGGCACUGAAUAUUUUAAUUCCAUCUUAAAAGAUUAUUUUUCUCUCUAAUGGCAUAAUCCACAAAAGUUCAUGUGUCAGCACUCCUCAACAGAAUGGGAUAGCUGAACGGAAAAAUCGGCAUUUAUUAGAGGUUGUUAGGGCUUUCAUGUUUACUACUUUAGUCCCUAAAUAUUUUUGGGGGAAGCUAUUUUAACAGCGGCUUAUUUAAUCAAUAGAAUGCUAUCUCGUGUCUUACAAUUACAACAUCAAACUCCAAUCUCGUUGCUUCUCAAAGUUUAUCCUCAAACUCACCUUAUAUCUGAAAUUCCACUCAGAACGUUUGGUUGUACCUCCUAUGUUCAUGUAGUAGGUUCGAAUCAUAGCAAGCUUGAUCCUUGUUCUCAUAAGUGUGUUUCUUGGUUAUUCCUCCACAAAAAAAGGUUACAAAUGUUAUAAUCCUAUCACCUGACACAGGCAUGUCUCUUUAGAUGUUAUAUUUCAUGAAAAACAAUCAUUUUAUUCCAAUACUUCGCUUCAGGGAGAGACUGAUAGGGAUGCUCAAUGUUGGGAUACUUGUCUACUAAUGAUAGGACCCGAGUUUGGUCCACUUUCUGAUCAUUCUGAUUCGAUUUCUGAUCCUAUUUCUGCCAUAAACUCUGAAACUAUCAGACCUGAAAUGGAAAACGAAGGCCAAAGGAAUUUAGACAAAGAGUUGCUGGUUUAUACUCGGCGACGGGGCAAAACUCAAGUAAUACAGCCAGCUAAAGACCCUGCAUCUCAUGAAUCUGAACCAGCGACAAAUCCUACUGUAAGUAACUCUUUGAACCCCAUCUCACUAGAUUCUAAUCCUAAUCUUGAGUAUCCUAGUGUGAUAGAAUCAGAUCUGCCCAAUGCAAAAAGAAAGGGAGUUAGGAGCCGUACUCUACAUCCUAUAUCUAAAUAUGUGUGCUACAACAGACUCAAAUCAAAGUUCAAAGCCUUUGCUGCCAAAAUCGAGGAAGUAAUUAUUCCAAGGAAUAUUGAGGAAGCUCUUUCGGUUUCUGAAUGGAAGAAAGCAGUUGAUGAAGAAAUGGGAGCACUGGAAAAAAAUACAACCUGGAAAAUUGUUGUCUAGUCGAAGAACCACCAUGUGGUAGGAUGCAAAUGGGUUUUUUCGGUAAAAUACAAAGCUGAUGGCACUGUAGAUCGAUACAAGACAAGGCUGGUGGCAAAGGGGUUUACUCAAACAUAUGACUACACAGAAACUUUCACACCAGUAGCAAAACUGAAUACAGUAAGAAUCCUAUUAUCAGUAGCUGCCAAUCUCGACUGACCAUUACAACAACUUGACAUAAAGAACGCCUUCUUGAAUGGAAAUUUGGAAGAGGAGGUGUAUAUGAAAAUCCCGCCAGGUUUUGAAGGAAGAUAUGGAAAAGAAAAUGUCACUUAAAGAAAUCUCUCUAUGGCUUGAAGCAAUCACCAUGUGCAUGGUUUGAGCGGUUCAAUCAAGUGAUUAAGAAGCAUGGGUGCAAACAAGGUUAAUCAGAUCAUACAUUAUUUCUCAAACAUUCAAAAGAUGGUAAGAUUGUACUUCUUAUUGUCUGUGGGUGACAUGAUUCUAUCUGGGAAUGAUCUGAAUGAGAUGGAGAACCUUAAAAAAUUGCUAGCUCAAGAAUUUGAAGUAAAAGAUCUAGGUCAAAUGAGAUACUUUCUAGGUAUGGAGAUUGCAAGAACCAAACAAGGGAUUUCAGUCUCUCAACGUAAAUAUGUUAUUGAUUUACUCAAAGAAACAGGAAUGCUUGGGUGUAAACCAGUUGCAACACCAGUGGAACCCAAAGGAAAGUACAAACAGGUGAUAACAGAGAAACCGGUGGACAAAGGGAUGUACCAACGACUGGUGGGAAAAUUGAUAUAUUUAUCCCAUACAAGACCUGAUAUUGGCUUUGCAGUAAGCUUGGUUAGUCAGUAUAUGCACAGUCCUUUAGAAGAACACUUGGAUGCAGUCUACAGGAUAUUAAGAUAUCUGAAAUAGACACCAGGAAAGGGUCUAUUGUUCAGAAAGAAUGAAGAGAGGAGUGUAGAAGCCUUUAUAGAUGCUGGUUGGGCAGCUUCAAUUGAGGACAGAAGGUCUACUUCUGGAUAUUGUUCUAAGGUAUGGGGGAACCUGGUUACUUGGACGAGCAAAAAGCAACAUGUUGUUGCAAGAAGCAGUGCGAAAGUUGAGCUUAGAGCUCUU